Long non-coding RNA from Biomphalaria glabrata, 2836 nucleotides. RefSeq lists it as uncharacterized. NCBI's taxonomy places the organism in Eukaryota, Metazoa, Mollusca, Gastropoda, Planorbidae. The record is from RefSeq and is a predicted model, not a curated record. The transcript has 5 exons.
AGGAUAGCAAGUUGGAGCUGUUGGGUUGAAAACAAAUAAAUGAACUCACAUUAGGCUGCAUUACUUCCUAGAGAAUUAAAACGAAAUGGUCAAUUAAACAUUGAGGUCAAGGAAAAAGGAUGAACAUUUCAAGGCUACAGGAGGAACAUUAAACGUCUCUCUCACUGUGAAAAGAUUCUAUCGAUCUACAACUGGUCAACAUGUUUUAUCUGAAGUUCAUCUGCCGUUUCUUCAAAUGGAGCCCUAGUCAGAAUAAGUUUGUCUACCAGCAGUUUGGUGCUACAAGUCAACGACACUCAGCAACAACAUGACUAAAUUAAAUAAAGCCGUGUCUAUUUCUACAUCAUUUUGUUCCUACUAACCUGGUGUUACUAACAACUAACUUGAAAUGGGAGAGGUGAGUUAUUAUCUAAAUCAUGCUUAACUCCUCAAAUUCUAUAGAAUUGCAGAGAACUGACAUAAAACAUAAAAUGUGUAUUCUAAUUGUAACUUUUCCUGAACUUUGCAUUUUUUCUCCUAGAUUUUCAUUUUUUCCUGAAGUCAUUUCAGUUCUCUAUUAUGUUGUGCAACAAGUUACAAGAACAAAUUCAAGCGAGAGAGGUCACUACACUAAGACUUUGUGUCUUCUCAUAAGAAUGGAUGGCUGCCUGGUCAUGUGGUAUGUGCGCUGGACUAACGAGAGAGGUCACUGCACUAAGACUUUGUCUUCUCAUAAGAAUGGAUGGCUGCCUGGUCAUGUGGUAUGUGCGCUGGACUGUUGUGGGGUCAUCUUGAUGCUCAUAUCUUGCCUAAUGCCAUUUAUUCUGCUGGACGUUUGGUCAAGGAAAUAGAUUCUCUUCAACUCUCAAGGAACAAUCAAAACAGGUCAAACAUUUGACAAGAAUAUCAAGCAAGUGCAGUGUACAUACCAACAUGAUGAAGAUGUAGACCAACAUGGUGAAGAUGAAGGCUGACAUGAUGAAGAUGUAGACCAACAUGAUGAAGAUGUAGAUCAACAUGAUGAAGAUGUAGACCAACAUGAUGAAGAUGUAGACCAACAUGAUGAAGAUGUAGACCAGCAUGAUGAAGAUGUAGACCAACAUGAUGAAGAUGUAGACCAACAUGAAGAUGAAAUGUAAACCAAACUAUUGAUCAAGAGAUGUAGGGAAUAAAAUGUGAACAUCUUGAGAAGUAAAACAAUUCCUAGAGGCCAAGACACAGACACAGUAGAUACAUUAGAGAUUGUUUCCUUGUGCUCUAAGGGAACCUGGGUCUGAAAGAAAUGAACAUUUCCCCAAUGCUACUUCAAAUCCAGACCUUCUCAAGACAAUCUUAGUGACCAAUACAGGACCCAGUAGGAAACAAUGAAGAAUCUUCCCAACCUCAGGUUGAGUACCCAUGCUCACCUACUAGAGUGGCAGCGCAUACUUCUACACCCACAGUUAGACAUCCUGAACCCUGUAACCCAACCUCACAACAUGGUUACAUUACCGGAAGUAGUUAAGAAGUCAGAAAACCUAACAGAUACAAUGAAUAGAACAAUCAUUUCUGAUACAGGUACAAGUACUCAAAUAAUGUACUUUGUAAGAAAUAAUUAGUUGGAAUUACCAUAAUUGAUUUCUAUCUUGUUCUAUAUUUAGGUAUAUCUUGACAAUCAGUCCAGUCAUUGUUCAUUUUGUUUUUAAUAUUCCUUUUGUUCCCUCAAUCUUCAUGUUCUUUCAGUUAAGGUUUUUAUCUCUUUUUGUUUUUUGGAGGAGGGAGGGGCUGUGGUAUAUUAUUAUUAUUAUUAUUGAAGUCACACUGUGGUAUAUUAUUAUUAUUAUUAUUGAAGUCACAACACCAAAGCCUUGCUACAUUAUGCUUUUAAUACCUUUUAUUAUCUCCCCUGCUUUUGUGUGCUAUCAUAUUAAUGUUCAUUAGUGUCACACUUUGUUCUAUGCUUUUUUAUAGUGUAAAUAGUGACUUGACAUUAUUUAGAUCUAUCAUAAUAUGUUAUAUUGUAUUAUUAUAUUUAAAAUAAAACUGUUAACAUUUUCUACGCUGCUAUAAAUAUGAAUGUUUUCCUGUGCUGCUAUGAAUGCAGUUUUGAGUUUUAGUCCAAAAUCAUAGAUGAGAAAUUGUUCCAUAAAGAGAGAGUCUAUUAAUAACUACUAUUUGGUAUUGUCAGUCAUCACUAAAGCAUUGAGUUCAUCCCCAUAGUCUAUUUAAAACUUUCAAAUACUAAUUCACUUUGUCUUAUCUGAUGGUGAUCAUAAGGUAUCCACUUUGUCAUCUCCAAAGUCUCUGGUGUGAACACUCACUGUCCUGUUGGAAUUUAGGGCUAGGAUGUAAUCUCUAUUUCUGAUGGAGCACAUGUAAAACCAACAAAACAAACAGUAGACCUAGACUUUAUUAACAGGUCAUGCAAACAUUUUUUAUAAUUGUGAACUGACGCUCCCAGAGCCAUUUUUAUGUAUUAUUAUUUUUGCUACUUUUGUAGACUAGUGCUAAGCUGUAUGCUUAUAAUUCCGCCUAUUAUUAUAUGGGUUAAGGCGAUGCUGUUUACUGUACUGUUGAUCAGUGGUGUGAGUGUCGGUUUUAAUUAUUCUGUACUUGGGACUGCCAGUAAGUUUCAGAAUUAUUUUUAUUUUUUUAAAUUUACUAUAUGUAAAUCUACUUUGUAUUUUAAUUAUAUAUGGUACAUUAUUUUUCAAAAUAAUUGGCAGUUUGUUUUUCAAAGUUUGUUUUAAAAAGCUGGCCACUUCUAAUGUAUAUGUACUAGAUCUUGUCCUUAUGUAUCUGUAUUUUUAUCUGCAGUGUUUUGUAACUGCUGCUUGAGUCAUUGAAAUUAAAGUAUCAUUUUUUUGUAUUUCUUCUC